Molecule: ribosomal RNA, 253 nt
Filed under: uncultured bacterium
Lineage: Bacteria
Description: partial 16S ribosomal RNA
Rfam family: Bacterial small subunit ribosomal RNA
Source: RNAcentral
UACGUAGGGCGCGAGCGUUGUCCGGAUUUAUUGGGCGUAAAGAGCUCGUAGGCGGCUUGUCGCGUCGUCUGUGAAAUCCCGAGGCUCAACCUCGGGCUUGCAGUGGGUACGGGCAGACUAGAGUGCGGUAGGGGAGACUGGAAUUCCUGGUGUAGCGGUGAAAUGCGCAGAUAUCAGGAGGAACACCGGUGGCGAAGGCGGGUCUCUGGGCCGAUACUGACGCUGAGGAGCGAAAGCGUGGGGAGCAAACAGG